RNAcentral lists this long non-coding RNA (1401 nucleotides) under Zonotrichia albicollis (white-throated sparrow). RNAcentral's name for it is "lncRNA (ENSZALG00000016327.1)". Lineage: Eukaryota; Metazoa; Chordata; Aves; Passeriformes; Passerellidae. The record is from RNAcentral.
GCAAAACCCGAGUGGGAACAGCGCUAAGCGACCGAACUCCAAAUGCUUUAGAUUAAAACGAGCAGAGGCUGUUUAGGACUAGGACAGAAAUAGGAGCAAAUAAAAGCAAAAUUCUGCAGAAGAGGCUCUGGGUGCGUGAAGCACCUGAGAGCAAUUGCAAACGCAAAAGUGUCACUGUAACCAGAUACACAAACAUCAAGGCCCAGCCUUCAAGACCCUGUGGAGGUCCCCUAGGCCUCCUCCCUCUGCAAGAGAAGCCGGUGCCUGAAGCUCUGGACCUUCCUACUUGUCAUCCAAAGCGGGAUUUCCAGCCUUGUGAGGAGGGUGGGCAGCUCGUGUCCAGCACAGAGACCAUGUGGGCAGAUGCUUUCUUCAGAAGAAAAGAAUUUGGAGAAUGUUGAGGAAGAGGGGAAAAGUGCAGGAGAAACGGAGAGCUGGAUCCUCAUCUAACAGAGGACCUGCAUCUGCUUCUCUGUUGGAUGUAGCGGGUAGUACAAGAAAACCCCCAUAACGCUUUGUCUGUAGUGAAGCAAUGCACCAAAAGACCUGUUUUAAUGCUUCAAAUUCAGCACCCCUGUGAACUCCAAUCUCACACCUGCUCCGUGCGAGAUGGGUUAUGGAGAGUGGAGACAAGCGGGUGCAUCCAGCGGAGCCACUGCUUUGCUCCUCUCCCUGCCUGCAGGACAGGCUCUGGCUGCCUGUGAGCUGGUGUGGCUGCAGACUGGGGCUGUAAAACUGUGCUGUGUGACCUGAUGAUCUCCCUGGAGUUUCCUGGUGUUUCUGUUUUAUGGUCCUUUCACACCUUCCCAGCCUUCCCAGUGCUUGCACGACUGGAAUGCAGCACCAGACUCCAGGCCAAGACAGGUGAAAUGCUUGUAAAGUAACUGGGAAAUGAAAGAUUUUGCUCCCCUCCUCACCCAUUUUGGAUUUCCAUGGGAUUGCUAGCAUGACAGGGUUAUAGUUAUAUUUGAAGGAGCACAAGAUGUGAAUCACUGUGUGUAGGCUGGUAUUUCAAAUGUGACUGACAGUUGCUUUUCAACACUUGAAUAUCAAUAUGGUGCUGGUAGGUAUCUGUGAAUCUUUUCAACUGGCCACAGCAAUGCAGAGAAAGGCAGAUCUCACGUCCACGUUCUACUUGCUUUCUGGUAUCAGGCUCUAACUUCUGGAAUUUAGAACCACUUUUAGUCAUAAUGUCAUUUAAUCGUGUCUUUAUGCUUUCUUCCCCUUUUGUAAAUAAUUGACAUGAGAAAGGAAAAUACUAAAGAGGGUGGUGGUAGAAAAUGAACAGUGAAAAACAGUAAAUGCAAUGUCUGCCCCUUUCUCUACCUAUUUCUGAGUUUAGUUUAUUCAGAGCAUGUGAAGUAGCACAUUGUCUUUUCCAUGCAGGGAGAAACUGUGACU